ACGAACGCUGGCGGCGUGCUUAACACAUGCAAGUCGAACGGAAAGGCCCUGCUUGCAGGGUGCUCGAGUGGCGAACGGGUGAGUAACACGUGGGUGAUCUGCCCCUUACUUUGGGAUAAGCCUGGGAAACUGGGUCUAAUACUGGAUAGGACCAUGCUGUAGGGGGUGUGGUGGAAAGAUUAGUUUCGGUAAGGGAUGAGGUCGCGGCCUAUCAGCUUGUUGGUGGGGGAAUGGCCUACUAAGGCGUCGACGGGUAGCCGGCCUGAGAGGGUGGACGGCCACAUUGGGACUGCGGUACGGCCCAGACGCCUACGGGAGGCAGCAGUGGGGAAUAUUGCACAAUGGGCGCAAGCCUGAUGCAGCGACGCCGCGUGGUGGAUGACGGCCUUCGGGUUGUAAACUCCUUCCAGCCAUGACGAAGCCCUUGUGGUGACGGUAGUGGUAGAAGAAGCACCGGCUAACUACGUG
This 468-nucleotide ribosomal RNA is filed under the name uncultured bacterium. Its description in RNAcentral is "partial 16S ribosomal RNA". It matches the Rfam family "Bacterial small subunit ribosomal RNA", at positions 29 to 507 of the family's 1533-position model. The record is from RNAcentral.